Molecule: unclassified non-coding RNA, 286 nt
Filed under: uncultured Cistella
Lineage: Eukaryota; Fungi; Ascomycota; Leotiomycetes; Helotiales; Hyaloscyphaceae
Description: partial contains 5.8S ribosomal RNA, internal transcribed spacer 2, and large subunit ribosomal RNA
Rfam family: 5.8S ribosomal RNA (bases 1-102)
Source: RNAcentral
AUGCGAUAAGUAAUGUGAAUUGCAGAAUUCAGUGAAUCAUCGAAUCUUUGAACGCACAUUGCGCCCCUUGGUAUUCCGGGGGGCAUGCCUGUUCGAGCGUCAUUAUAACCCUCAAGCCUAGCUUGGUGUUGGAGUAUGCUACCCAGCAGCUCUUAAAAUCAGUGGCAGUGCCCUCUGGCUCUAAGCGUAGUAACUUCUCUCGCUAUAGAACCCAGAGGGACCGCGCCAGAACCCCUAACUUCUAAUGAUUGACCUCGGAUCAGGUAGGGAUACCCGCUGAACUUAA